This 1475-nucleotide long non-coding RNA is filed under the name Heterocephalus glaber (naked mole-rat). Its description in RNAcentral is "lncRNA (ENSHGLG00000032082.1)". The record is from RNAcentral. Lineage: Eukaryota; Metazoa; Chordata; Mammalia; Rodentia; Bathyergidae.
CCCGGCCACGUAGCUCAGCUCCACCCUCCCUGCUGCGCAGGCGCACAGUGUUCUGUGACAGCCCAGUGUGUCCUCAGGGCUGGGUCCGCUGGCUGGUCUCCCAGCCGAGUGAGCGGUGAGUGGUCGCCGGUCAACAGUAUGAGGCGGUGCCUGCCCCCCGCCGCUCGCCGUCUGCCCGGCCUCCAUAGACUGAGGAGAACGGCGAGGCCAAGGUCGGCUCACACUGACAAGGCCAGCUGCACCCUGCCUCGCUGCGGCCUAGCGCCUGUCGCUUCCCACAGCCCUGGCGAACCCACCGGCUGAGGGGGACCAGGCUGGACCCGCCCGACUUUCGGUCCGCCCGUUCCUCCUGUACUGGCAGCCGAGGUGUGUGGGGAGGUUCGGUUCCGGGCCCGAUCGGACUAAAUGGCCGAGCAGUGGACAGGCCAACGUGGGACCCAAGGUGCCGGAAUCGGCAGGUCGCGCCCGCUGCCCGCCCCGCGCCCCGCGGCAGGGAACCUUCCAGGGUGGCUUCCCGGCCGCCCUCCGUCUGAAGUCAGCUUAAGGGGCUCCGUUUCUCAGUCCCGGACGUCUCCCAGGGAGCGCCAGCCCGGCCUGAGUGCAGGAGGCCUCCUCCAGCAGGCGAGGAAAGGAGGGAGCCCCUCGUCUCCUCCUCGGCAGCAGAGUCCAGGACCUGGAGUCCCCGAGAGGACCUCUGAGGUGUUGGGCAUUUUGUCCCAGUGAUGAGAAAGUAACUAAGACAAUGGCUAUCAUCAAGAACUCAGAAAACAACAAAUGUUAGCGAAGUUGUGGGGGAAGGAACUCUCCUACAUUGUUGAUGGGAAUAUAAACUAGUACAACCACUUUGGAACGGAGUAUGGACCUUCCUCAAACAACUACAAAUAGGAAUUCCAUUUGACCCCUGCGAUUGCUCUUCUGGAUAUCUUCCAACAAGAGUUAAAGACACCAUGGAACUCAUUUAAGCUGGACCUUCAGAUCGGUGAGAAGUUUUUCUAUCCAUGUUGUAACAACCACUAUGCCUUCCACCAUCUCAGAGCCCAAAGACGAUGCUUUGAGGGAUAAUUCUUUCAUCACAGACUCCAGCACUACAAACAUGUUGGGUUUCCUUGGCUUCUCUAGGUGACGAUGGUACUGUGACAUCAUCAUAAAAACUCACAGCUAAGGCCCGUCUCAUUGUUCGACCUUGACAGAACUCAGUGAAGAUGACUUUGGGAACCCCUUGGAUGCAAAACCCUUCCUUCAGAGGACCCAGGCUGCAUUUCUUUCCCAGCAUGCAGCUGUGCCACCUUAAUCAUUUUUUAAAUUGUAAACAGUUGUGGAUGAUCCUUUUAACAAACUCUAAUUCACCUCCUUCAGCCAUGAUUUCUGUGAUACCUCCUGUAUUUACAGAACUAGGUGGAGUUCUUUGAGAAUUUCUAGAGUUUACUCCCUUGGGCUCCAACUGGUUGGCAAAAAAAAAGGAGGGUUGUACAUGC